CCUACGGGUGGCUGCAGUGGGGAAUAUUGGACAAUGGGCGAAAGCCUGAUCCAGCCAUGCCGCGUGUGUGAAGAAGGCCUUCGGGUUGUAAAGCACUUUCAGUGGGGAAGAAAGCCUUGGGGCUAAUACCCUCGAGGAAGGACAUCACCCACAGAAGAAGCACCGGCUAACUCCGUGCCAGCAGCCGCGGUAAUACGGAGGGUGCGAGCGUUAAUCGGAAUUACUGGGCGUAAAGCGCGCGUAGGCGGUCUGAUAAGCCGGUUGUGAAAGCCCCGGGCUCAACCUGGGAACGGCAUCCGGAACUGUCAGGCUAGAGUGCAGGAGAGGAAGGUAGAAGUCCCGGUGUAGCGGUGAAAUGCGUAGAGAUCGGGAGGAAUACCAGUGGCGAAGGCGGUCUUCUGGACUGACACUGACGCUGAGGUGCGAAAGCGUGGGUAGCAAACAGGAUUAGAUACCCUUGUAGUC
This 465-nucleotide ribosomal RNA is filed under the name Vreelandella stevensii. RNAcentral's name for it is "partial 16S ribosomal RNA". It matches the Rfam family "Bacterial small subunit ribosomal RNA", at positions 338 to 795 of the family's 1533-position model. The record is from RNAcentral. Lineage: Bacteria; Pseudomonadati; Pseudomonadota; Gammaproteobacteria; Oceanospirillales; Halomonadaceae.